Molecule: ribosomal RNA, 633 nt
Filed under: Triticum aestivum (bread wheat)
Lineage: Eukaryota; Viridiplantae; Streptophyta; Magnoliopsida; Poales; Poaceae
Description: partial small subunit ribosomal RNA
Source: RNAcentral
AUGAUCAUCCCUGAACCUGUAAUAUGGGAUAAACUUAUCAAGGAUCAUCCAAGGAUAAAGAAGUUUCGUUCAAAACCAUUCAUGCUCUUCAAGUCAUUGGCUUCACUACAUGAAGGAAGUGUUGCUCCAGGAGACUUGAACAUUGUAUCAAUUCCGCAAGUGGAUCUCACAAGCGAUGCCAUUUCUCCUAUGGAUUCCUCUGCCAAUGAUUUGAACCAUAUCUCCUCUACCAAUGUUGAUGAUAGUAUGUCCUCAUCUGAUCUACAAGGGAAAGGGGCAUCAAGAAGAGAUGAACCUGAAGCUACAACAUCUACCAACUCUGAACAAAAGGGAGCACUGCCUGUGAAAAAGAGGAAGCAAAGCCAGAUCGUUGUUGUACUUGAGAACUACAUGGACUUUCAUAAGAAACAAUCUGCAAAACUGAUUGACGAGUUGAGAGAAUCAAAGCAAGAUGACAUGUUCUCGAUUGGAAACUGUGUGGCUGCGCUAGAACCAAUGGAAGAUCUAUCAGUUUCAGAAAAAGCAAAGGCACUACGGAUUUUCAAAUGCCCAAUGAAUCGAGAAAUGUUCAUCAAUACCAAGGACUCAAAUCUUCGGCUUUAUUGGUUGAAGGAGGAUAUUUCUGAGAUGUAG